UACGUAGGGGACAAGCGUUGUCCGGAAUCAUUGGGCGUAAAGAGCGUGUAGGCGGCCAGAUAAGUCCGCUGUGAAAACUCGAGGCUCAACUUCGAGCUGUCGGCGGAAACUAUCUGGCUAGAGUCCGGAAGAGGAGAGUGGAAUUCCUGGUGUAGCGGUGAAAUGCGCAGAUAUCAGGAAGAACACCCGUGGCGAAGGCGGCUCUCUGGGACGGUACUGACGCUGAGACGCGAAAGCGUGGGGAGCGAACAGG
This 253-nucleotide ribosomal RNA is filed under the name uncultured bacterium. Its description in RNAcentral is "partial 16S ribosomal RNA". It matches the Rfam family "Bacterial small subunit ribosomal RNA", at positions 524 to 776 of the family's 1533-position model. The record is from RNAcentral.